RNAcentral lists this ribosomal RNA (874 nucleotides) under uncultured bacterium. Its description in RNAcentral is "bacterial SSU rRNA". It matches the Rfam family "Bacterial small subunit ribosomal RNA", at positions 27 to 897 of the family's 1533-position model. The record is from RNAcentral.
GAUUGAACGCUGGCGGCAUGCCUUACACAUGCAAGUCGAACGGCAGCACGGGGGCAACCCUGGUGGCGAGUGGCGAACGGGUGAGUAAUACAUCGGAACGUGUCCUGUAGUGGGGGAUAGCCCGGCGAAAGCCGGAUUAAUACCGCAUACGCUCUACGGAGGAAAGGGGGGGAUCUCAGGACCUCCCGCUACAGGGGCGGCCGAUGGCAGAUUAGCUAGUUGGUGGGGUAAAGGCCUACCAAGGCGACGAUCUGUAGCUGGUCUGAGAGGACGACCAGCCACACUGGGACUGAGACACGGCCCAGACUCCUACGGGAGGCAGCAGUGGGGAAUUUUGGACAAUGGGCGAAAGCCUGAUCCAGCAAUGCCGCGUGUGUGAAGAAGGCCUUCGGGUUGUAAAGCACUUUUGUCCGGAAAGAAAACCUCCGCCCUAAUAUGGUGGGGGGAUGACGGUACCGGAAGAAUAAGCACCGGCUAACUACGUGCCAGCAGCCGCGGUAAUACGUAGGGUGCAAGCGUUAAUCGGAAUUACUGGGCGUAAAGCGUGCGCAGGCGGUCCGCUAAGACAGAUGUGAAAUCCCCGGGCUUAACCUGGGAACUGCAUUUGUGACUGGCGGGCUAGAGUAUGGCAGAGGGGGGUAGAAUUCCACGUGUAGCAGUGAAAUGCGUAGAGAUGUGGAGGAAUACCGAUGGCGAAGGCAGCCCCCUGGGCCAAUACUGACGCUCAUGCACGAAAGCGUGGGGAGCGAACAGGAUUAGAUACCCUGGUAGUCCACGCCCUAAACGAUGUCAACUAGUUGUUGGGGAUUCAUUUCCUUAGUAACGUAGCUAACGCGUGAAGUUGACCGCCUGGGGAGUACGGUCGCAAGAUUAA